CGAACUUGCGGAAUGUUCCGAAUUUCGUGUUUCUUCUCCACGUGGUAAAAAAUGGCGUAAAAAUCGAGGUUUAUAUUGAUCAAUCAUACCUUUAUUUGAAGGUAAUAUGCUUUAUUUAAUAUCUGUAUUUGUAGUAGAAUACUUAGAUUGCUAAUGUAGAUGGCAUUUUUAGGUAUCGGGAUCGAAUUUAGUGCGAAAUGUCGGCAUAAAAUUUGUAGUUAAUUGCACGUGGUGCUUUGGUCGAUGUCGAAAUAAAAACCCGCGAUCUGUUGUUAUUAAUAGCACUGACCAAUUCAAUAAAAAGACUAAGUAAGGUAUAAAAUUGUUGAAAUCAUCGAAAAAAGUCCGUUGUUUUUGAGUUCUUGCCAGGAUCUAUAUAUUUUACAUCAUAAAUUGUCAUCAAUUGUCAGAGCACUCUUUUCUUGACAAGUAAAAUCGUCUGGCGUUAGACUAAAAUAAUAAAAUAGGGUGCAUCUUGAUAAUAGUGUUAAUUUUCGGUUACUUGAUUAAUCCAGCCUCUUCCUGUUGGGGAAAUUCUGCUGUCCAGAAUCAGUCCGAGCAGAAUUCUAUAUGUAAAUUAUCAAAGGCAAAUUAAAGCUCAUUACUGUAUGUCACAGAAAUACAGUUAUUGUAACUAAAGUGCCUUGUCUUAAAGGACGUUAUGAAGCAAUGUAUUUCAUUAAAAACCAUUUCAGACCCCCGGACGUUUACAAAGGUGUCAUCCACAUCCCCAAUCUCACUCUUAACUUUUCUGUAAAGUUGAGAGGUCUGUGUACCUCAGUUAUUAGUUGGUCAUUCGCAUCUGUAAAAUUAUCUUAAAAUUUUGUAGAUAUUCAUUGCAAGUUGAAUCCACAUUGUCCCAAGUUCCUGCCUGACAAUAUGUUGAGUAUUAUGAAAAAUGAACCCUUUCGAAAGACAUAAAUAAACGGUAUGUGCUUUUCCUGUUUACAUGUAUUUUGUAUAUCUUAACAUCUUUUCCAUUUAACCCAAUUGAGUGCCCGCACUCUCCCCUUGACAAGUAAAAUUGUCUGGCAUUAUAGACAGAGUAAAAAUAAUAAAGUACUGGGUGCAUUAGGGUGGAAUGCAUCUUACAAUCAAACCGGAUGUUCUCUUGCAAGCAACAUUGCAAUAUUGUCCCACAAUAUUGCAAUUUUCAUAGGCAGAUUGCUCUGAGCAAUUUGCAACCGACGCGAACAAAUUGCAAGUUGAAAUUCACAAAAGAUUUGUAAACAAAGCCUCUGAUUGGACUAUAAGAAAGGGGGAAGCACCAAUCCAGUUGCUCAGACUAUUUGCAUGGCUUCCCUUUUCUUAUAAUCCAAUCAGAGGCUUUGUUUACAAAUCUUUUGUGAAUUUCCAUUUUGCAAUUUGUUCGUGUCUGUUGCAAUUUGCUCAGAGCAAUCUGCCUAUCAAAAUUGCAAUAUUGUGGGACAAUAUUGCAAUGUUGCUUGCAAGAGAACAUCCGAUUUGACUGUAAUAGGAUGCAUGGGCAGUUUGUUUGGUUAAUCCAUUGAGUGACAGCACUCUCCAUGUGACAAGUAAAACCUUGACAUGUAAAAUCGUCUGGCGUUAGACAGAGUAAAAUACUAAAGUAGGGUGCAUCAGGGCGCAUUGCCACUUAUUAAAGGGUUAAUUACGUUAUAUAUUAUACCAUACAUCUUUCAUAAUUAUUAUAUCACUCUCUUGAAUGCCAUCAAGGGGAGGAUUUUAAAUUAUUUCACAUCCUCGAUAAUCAAUUUUGGAAUUUUUAGAUAUUAUGUUGCAAGUUCCAAGAAUGGUUGAAGUUGUUGGCUGAAGUUUGUAAACCACAAAAAGAACACUGUCAUUGGAAAGUAAAUUAACAGGUCUUGAUAUUUUUAUGUCUUAUUUUAUGUAUCUCGUGCUUUGAAAACUACACAUAUAAUUGCUGUGAUCAGUGGCUGAGUUUACUACCGAGUUUUUUAAAAAAGCUAGCAAAAAUAUCAUUGCCAUUUUAUUCAAGACACAAACGAAAAUGGAAAAUUAACAAAAAGUUAAAGCAAAAAUAAUAAUUGAUUGUGAAUCCACAAUAUUUUUUUAUGAAUGCACAAGCCUUUCACUUGGCAGGUGUAGAUUUGGAAAUUGCAGUUUUACGCUCUGCUUUGUUGAAGCUACCAAUCACAGCCAGUUACUAGUUUUCAAAGCAUUAUAAUUUCAGAUCAAGCCAAGGAAUGAUAAACUGUGUGUUUUGAAAAGUGUACAUAUAUGCUUUCAGUUUGGAUAUACAUUUUUCAUGUUUGGCAUAAUAGCUAGUUGUUGAAAAUGCAUGCUUAUUUGGGUUUUCAAGUUUCAAAAGAUUUUCCAUGUUAAGAUAUCAUAAUUUGUGGCAAAAAAUAAAACAAUUCAGUUUGUCAUUAUUUGGCUUUGUAACAUCAAUUGAACAAUGAGAAGAUUGAGAUGGUUCUAUAAGAAACAUUCCCUUACAGAUAAAACAUGUCAGUUCAAAUCGCCUAUUUGACCAUGAAUUCUGUAUUCUGUGUUUUCUUUUAUUCAUUUGAAGCAUGUUCCCAUUCAAACAUGAAAAUGAACAGUGAACUUGAACUUGUUUAUCAAAAUGCAUUGUGAAUAAAAAAUAAUUUUGGUUUCUGAAUUACCAUCUUAAUCCUCUUUUGUUUAAGCAGACAUCAAGUGUUUGUUUGACAGUUAGGGAAGUUUGUUUGAAAUCACAAUAUUUGUAUCAAAAUUUAGGUUCUAGAUGUUAUUAGAGCCUUGGAAUAUUAAAUCUUGGAACAAGCAAUUUGGAUCAAUUGCAGUAUACAACACCUUUUAAAUUAGCACUGUUAGAACUGCCUUGUUGUUUAAUAGUCUUGUCUUAUUUAUCCCAGCACACUCUUAAUACAUGAGUUUGAUUAUUCCUGGACACAAAUAAAAUGGAUUUGUUGAGGAACAAGGCAGUUCUAUACAGUGUUGACUUAUAGGGGGGUUGUAAACUUCAGUUGUUAUUUGAUUCUUGUGGCAAACACAUUCAGCAUUGUUGUUUUUAACGACACAUUUGAACUUCGGAACAAAUAUUGUGAUUUUAAAUAAAUUAAAUUAUAAUUUUCACAACUUUAAAACAAACAAUUGAGGUCUAAAUAAGCUAGCAUAUUGUCUUUACAUUAUUACAAAGUGGACUUGUUUGAAUACGGAUGAACUGAAGCAACAAGACUACAUAUACUGUAUACUCAAAUUUGGGCUAAUGCAAGGUUGUAUAACUAAAAGAAAAUUGAUGUUACGCACAGCAAAGAAAACCACAACCAGACGAAGUUGAUGUUUUUCGGAAUAUGUUUUGAUUUGUGGCAAAGAAAAAAAAAACAAUGAAAAGUAUUCAAAAG
Molecule: long non-coding RNA, 3329 nt
Filed under: Paramuricea clavata
Lineage: Eukaryota; Metazoa; Cnidaria; Anthozoa; Malacalcyonacea; Plexauridae
Source: RNAcentral